RNAcentral lists this unclassified non-coding RNA (387 nucleotides) under soil metagenome. RNAcentral describes it as "partial contains 5.8S ribosomal RNA, internal transcribed spacer 2, and large subunit ribosomal RNA". The stretch from base 1 to 120 matches the Rfam family "5.8S ribosomal RNA", at positions 35 to 154 of the family's 154-position model. The record is from RNAcentral.
GAUGAAGAACGCAGCAAAAUGCGAUAAGUAAUGUGAAUUGCAGAAUUCAGUGAAUCAUCGAAUCUUUGAACGCACCUUGCACCCUUUGGCAUUCCGAAGGGUAUGCUCGUUUGAGUGUCAUUGUACUCUCACACUCUCCGAUCCUAUGGAUUCGGGGAGCGGUGGACUUGGGUGUUGCUGCCUUUCCUUGUGGCUCACCUCAAAUGUGUCAGUGCACCUCUUGGUUGGACAUAGUACGGCGUGAUAAGUGUCUUCGCCGGCACCUCGCAAGAGGGUGGCCGAUCGGGAGCUCUGUGCUUUCAAACCGUCUUCGGACAAUUUCUGACAACUUGACCUCAAAUCGAGUAGGACUACCCGCUGAACUUAAGCAUAUCAAUAAGCGGAGGA